AGGUCAUUUCAAAGAAGGCUGCAGGGCUGUGAAGCCAAGCUCUCCUAACAAUAUGACCAAAGAUUGACAUUCUCCACAAGGUUCCAUAUAGAGUCACUUAAUAAUGCUGUUUUUUUUCCUGAGAAUAUAUAAGG
Molecule: small nucleolar RNA, 134 nt
Filed under: Castor canadensis (American beaver)
Lineage: Eukaryota; Metazoa; Chordata; Mammalia; Rodentia; Castoridae
Description: Small nucleolar RNA SNORA25 (ENSCCNG00000018494.1)
Source: RNAcentral